This 426-nucleotide ribosomal RNA is filed under the name uncultured Azovibrio sp. Its description in RNAcentral is "bacterial SSU rRNA". It matches the Rfam family "Bacterial small subunit ribosomal RNA", at positions 356 to 774 of the family's 1533-position model. The record is from RNAcentral. Lineage: Bacteria; Pseudomonadati; Pseudomonadota; Betaproteobacteria; Rhodocyclales; Rhodocyclaceae.
GGGGAAUUUUGGACAAUGGGGGCAACCCUGAUCCAGCCAUGCCGCGUGAGUGAAGAAGGCCUUCGGGUUGUAAAGCUCUUUCGGCCGGGAAGAAAUCGUGCAGGCUAAUACCCUGUAUGGAUGACGGUACCGGAAUAAGAAGCACCGGCUAACUACGUGCCAGCAGCCGCGGUAAUACGUAGGGUGCGAGCGUUAAUCGGAAUUACUGGGCGUAAAGCGCGCGUAGGUGGUUUGGUAAGAUGGAUGUGAAAUCCCCGGGCUCAACCUGGGAACUGCAUCCAUAACUGCCUGACUAGAGUACGGUAGAGGGUGGUGGAAUUCCACGUGUAGCAGUGAAAUGCGUAGAGAUGUGGAGGAACACCAAUGGCGAAGGCAGCCCCCUGGGUCGAUACUGACGCUCAUGCACGAAAGCGUGGGGAGCAAACA